UUUUUUUUUUUUUUUUGUGUGUGUAACAUGAUCUAGUUUUAAUGUGUGUGAGGCUAUAUAUAUAUAUAUAUAUAUUUGAGUUUUUGAAUGCUCUAUGGCGCUUUGGACUGCAUUUUUUUCUUGGCUUUUCUGCUCUCGAUGACAAUGUCUGCUCUGCUGGCUUCUAUCAUUAUGGUCUUUUCUAAGUAAAAAAAUGCAGUCC
Molecule: unclassified non-coding RNA, 202 nt
Filed under: Hevea brasiliensis (rubber tree)
Lineage: Eukaryota; Viridiplantae; Streptophyta; Magnoliopsida; Malpighiales; Euphorbiaceae
Source: RNAcentral